This 497-nucleotide ribosomal RNA is filed under the name uncultured bacterium. Its description in RNAcentral is "partial 16S ribosomal RNA". It matches the Rfam family "Bacterial small subunit ribosomal RNA", at positions 28 to 507 of the family's 1533-position model. The record is from RNAcentral.
GAUGAACGCUGGCGGCGUGCCUAAUACAUGCAAGUCGAUCGAACGGACGAGAAGCUUGCUUCUCUGAUGUUAGCGGCGGACGGGUGAGUAACACGUGGAUAACCUACCUAUAAGACUGGGAUAACUUCGGGAAACCGGAGCUAAUACCGGAUAAUAUUUUGAACCGCAUGGUUCAAAAGUGAAAGACGGUCUUGCUGUCACUUAUAGAUGGAUCCGCGCUGCAUUAGCUAGUUGGUAAGGUAACGGCUUACCAAGGCAACGAUGCAUAGCCGACCUGAGGGGGUGAUCGGCCACACUGGAACUGAGACACGGUCCAGACUCCUACGGGAGGCAGCAGUAGGGAAUCUUCCGCAAUGGGCGAAAGCCUGACGGAGCAACGCCGCGUGAGUGAUGAAGGUCUUCGGAUCGUAAAACUCUGUUAUUAGGGAAGAACAUAUGUGUAAGUAACUGUGCACAUCUUGACGGUACCUAAUCAGAAAGCCACGGCUAACUACGUG